This is a long non-coding RNA of Esox lucius (northern pike), 2037 nucleotides long. The record is from Ensembl. NCBI's taxonomy places the organism in Eukaryota, Metazoa, Chordata, Actinopteri, Esociformes, Esocidae.
UAUUUUAUUUUUACAACUUUUCCAUUUUGAAAACCUCAAUUACGUAAUCCAUGACAGAUGUUUUAAUACAGCAGUAUUUUGUUUCAGAAUAGAUUGAUUCAGUUAGACUGAAGUACUUGUAAAACAUUAAGCUCAACUGAAAUAACACAAAGUUACUAUACUGGGUUUAAGUUGUGUUUUUUUAUUAUUAUUCUUAACUGUCAUGCCUAUUCCAUGCCAGAGGUUCCACAAAACAAAACAUUAUUAGAAGCUGCAUCAAGAUGGAUUACUCAAUCAAUAAAUAAACAAAUAAAACACAAAAAGCUAUGUAACCCCCACCCCAAAGAAACUCUUGUUAAACCUUAUACUGAUCACAAGAGACUGCAAGACAUUCAAGAUACUGCAUGUAACUUUGAUACGAAACUCACGACUAAAAUCAUUUUUAACCUUGCAAACUGUUCCAUAAAAAAAAAAAAGCUUUACUAAACAUACUUGUGGUCUCUUGCUCGUUCCUUCACGGUCAUCAAACAACAUAUUCACUUUCUCUGUAGAUAUAAUCAGGCUGUCAACACAAUCCAUUGAGACGUAUUCAGUCUGUUACGUACUGUACACCUAACCCAAGUAGCCCUUCCUCCAAGAAUUUUAGCAUGUCAUCAUUGGUUUACAAAACUAUGACAUGAGACACAAGCAGUCAUUAAACCAAUCACAUACUUGAUUGUGGAAUUCAACUAGAAGAAUCCUGCUUAAAUACUUUAUAACAAAACCACCGAUGCCUAAAAGCUUAAAUACUAUGUAAUGUAAAAUCAACUUCAGGAAACUCAUUAACUGCAUCACUUCAUGACAUUACCACAAUAAAUACAUAACAUAUCUACACUGUUACAUACAGUGUUUGUUCUAUAUAUAUUUUGUUUGACUAUUGAUGAUGACGAUAGCAAAAUAUUAUCAAAUAACACAAUUCUCAAAUUUCAGUGAAACAUAGUUUAAAAAGUUCACAUUUUCUUCAUCUGCGUGGAUGCGAUGUAACAUGCAUCUACACACAUUUUCUCUUGAAUAAGAAACCAUUUUGCAAUGUCCGCAAAACCAACACUUAUUUGCAUACAUUCUUACAGUCAAAGAGGUCCUGUUUAUCGGUAGGCUAUGUCACCCAUUGCUCCCUCUUCAUUUACAUUUUACAAUCAAAUGUAUCAAAAUGUUCAUUCUGAAUUUAAAUAAGGGCACUUGUAACAGACAGCAAGACCCUUCCACAUGCUAAUCUGUGACGUAAGUCACUAUCAGUCACCAUGAUUGUACUUGAGGUUUUGGCAGCCUUUGUAAACCAUACACAGACUUGGUAUACACAAAAGCUCUGCAAUGAAUUACGGUCUUAUUUGUAUCAAAAAGAGAGCAGACGUUUGGAAAUGAGCCGGCCUUUUGAACAAUGUGUUUCACUCCAUGAAAUAAACAAAGAACCACUGCAAUUGUCUCAAUGCGAGAACAUUCUCUCUGUGGCUUCCUGUAGGUUAAGUAUGGAGUCUCUAUGUUGGAGGCAGAGAGGUUAGGUUCUCAAUAUUUAGAACCGGUGCUGGAUUUUGUGAUUUUGUUUGGCUAUAAAGUUCCCGCCUCAUGUCACCAUAAAGGUUCCUCAGGGCUCUGUCCUACGACUGGCCUGAUAUAGACCGGUGGAACCUCUCAGCAACAGUUCCAACCUUCAUGCAUUUGAAACAUGAAGCCGUGCUCACUGUGUGACCGGCGUCAUGUGUGUGGGGGGUACAGGGCUGGUGGGGGUCUGGGGCGAGCUUUGGUACGACCGGAGGAGGACCUUGUGCCUAGUGGCCACUCUGGCCCGAAGGCUCUGCUGCUCGUCCAGAUACUCCUUGAGGCGCGUGGUGGUGAAGGUGAGGGUCUGCCGCCGCAGCCGCAUCAGGUAGGCAUCCUGGAGCCAAGAGUUGUUAUAGCAGUCCUUGAUUGAAGGACGGGCCCUGAAAAAGAGGUUACACCCAGAGUCAAGCAGACCCAGCACAAAAACAGUAACUCUCCCAUAACAGAUUGGUUACAUGAAUGUGAUAUAUAAUAUACAAA